GACGAACGCUGGCGGCGUGCUUAACACAUGCAAGUCGAACGAUGAAGCCCAGCUUGCUGGGUGGAAGAGUGGCGAACGGGUGAGUAACACGUGAGUAACCUGCCCUGAACUCUGGGAUAAGCACUGGAAACGGUGUCUAAUACUGGAUACGACCUAUCACCGCAUGGUGUGUGGGUGAAAAGAUUUAUCGGUUCUGGAUGGACUCGCGGCCUAUCAGCUAGAUGGUGAGGUAAUGGCUCACCAUGGCGACGACGGGUAGCCGGCCUGAGAGGGUGACCGGCCACACUGGGACUGAGACACGGCCCAGACUCCUACGGGAGGCAGCAGUGGGGAAUAUUGCACAAUGGGCGCAAGCCUGAUGCAGCAACGCCGCGUGAGGGAUGACGGCCUUCGGGUUGUAAACCUCUUUUAGUAGGGAAGAAGCGAAAGUGACGGUACCUGCAGAAAAAGCACCGGCUAACUACGUG
RNAcentral lists this ribosomal RNA (467 nucleotides) under uncultured bacterium. RNAcentral describes it as "partial 16S ribosomal RNA". It matches the Rfam family "Bacterial small subunit ribosomal RNA", at positions 28 to 507 of the family's 1533-position model. The record is from RNAcentral.